This 110-nucleotide transfer RNA is filed under the name Promethearchaeota archaeon. RNAcentral's name for it is "Candidatus Lokiarchaeota archaeon (permafrost metagenome) tRNA-Glu". It matches the Rfam family "tRNA". Rfam says of the family: Transfer RNA (tRNA) molecules are approximately 80 nucleotides in length. Their secondary structure includes four short double-helical elements and three loops (D, anti-codon, and T loops). Lineage: Archaea; Promethearchaeati; Promethearchaeota. The record is from RNAcentral.
GCUUCUGUAGUGUAGUUCGGUCAAACUUACUCUUUUCUUAUUACAGAAAAAAGGAUUAUGCAUGCGAGGCUCUCACCCUCGUGUCCCGGGUUCGAAUCCCGGCAGAAGCA